This 23-nucleotide non-coding RNA is filed under the name Rattus norvegicus (Norway rat). The record is from RNAcentral. Lineage: Eukaryota; Metazoa; Chordata; Mammalia; Rodentia; Muridae.
UAAUUACAGGUGACAUUUCCAUC